Molecule: transfer RNA, 64 nt
Filed under: Geobacter sulfurreducens PCA
Lineage: Bacteria; Pseudomonadati; Thermodesulfobacteriota; Desulfuromonadia; Geobacterales; Geobacteraceae
Rfam family: tRNA
About the family: Transfer RNA (tRNA) molecules are approximately 80 nucleotides in length. Their secondary structure includes four short double-helical elements and three loops (D, anti-codon, and T loops).
Source: Rfam by way of RNAcentral
GCUGAAACAUCAAAUUGUCAGCUUCCCAAGCUGAAGGUCGCGGGUUCGAAUCCCGUUUCCCGCU